Molecule: ribosomal RNA, 254 nt
Filed under: uncultured bacterium
Lineage: Bacteria
Description: partial 16S ribosomal RNA
Rfam family: Bacterial small subunit ribosomal RNA
Source: RNAcentral
UACGUAGGGUGCGAGCGUUAAUCGGAAUUACUGGGCGUAAAGCGUGCGCAGGCGGUUAUGUAAGACAGAUGUGAAAUCCCCGGGCUCAACCUGGGAACUGCAUUUGUGACUGCAUAGCUAGAGUACGGUAGAGGGGGAUGGAAUUCCGCGUGUAGCAGUGAAAUGCGUAGAUAUGCGGAGGAACACCGAUGGCGAAGGCAAUCCCCUGGACCUGUACUGACGCUCAUGCACGAAAGCGUGGGGGAGCAAACAGG